This 403-nucleotide ribosomal RNA is filed under the name bacterium. RNAcentral describes it as "partial 16S ribosomal RNA". It matches the Rfam family "Bacterial small subunit ribosomal RNA", at positions 355 to 776 of the family's 1533-position model. The record is from RNAcentral.
UGGGGAAUAUUGCACAAUGGGGGAAACCCUGAUGCAGCGACGCCGCGUGAACGAAGAAGGUAUUCGUAUCGUAAAGUUCUGUCCUAUGGGAAGAUAAUGACAGUACCAUAGAAGAAAGCUCCGGCUAAAUACGUGCCAGCAGCCGCGGUAAUACGUAUGGAGCGAGCGUUGUCCGGAAUUAUUGGGCGUAAAGGGUACGCAGGCGGUUUAAUAAGUCGAAUGUUAAAGAUCGGGGCUCAUCCCCGCAAAGCAUUGGAAACUGAUAAACUUGAGUAGUGGAGAGGAAAGUGGAAUUCCUAGUGUAGUGGUGAAAUACGUAGAUAUUAGGAGGAAUACCAGUAGCGAAGGCGACUUUCUGGACACAAACUGACGCUGAGGUACGAAAGCGUGGGGAGCAAACAGG